AUGAAGUCGAAUUCGAAGAAUCAUCCAUCGAUUCAGCUUCACUCUGAUGACCUCCCUCUUAAUAUCUUUCCACUGAUCCCAAUCCAAACCCUAACCCUAACCCUGACAAUCUCUUCUCCCUCUCUUAAUUCUACUCCUUUCAUCAAAGAACAAAAUUGUUAUUUUCUCUUCUCUAAAACCUUAUACAUCGAAAAGAAGAGCGAUUUGUAUUUUGGUGAAGAUGGGAUUAACGUUCACGAUGUUGUUUAG
Non-coding RNA from Vicia faba (fava bean), 249 nucleotides. Lineage: Eukaryota; Viridiplantae; Streptophyta; Magnoliopsida; Fabales; Fabaceae. The record is from the annotation of a GenBank genome assembly.